This is a long non-coding RNA of Cornus florida, 401 nucleotides long. RefSeq lists it as uncharacterized. The transcript is spliced from 2 exons. The record is from RefSeq and is a predicted model, not a curated record. Lineage: Eukaryota; Viridiplantae; Streptophyta; Magnoliopsida; Cornales; Cornaceae.
CACAUUUUAAUUCAUUCAUUACUUUCCUCUUAAGAACCCUAAGGAAGCCACCAUUGGAGAAAAGCUUGACUAGUAGCUUUGACUUCAUUUUUUGUGCCCUUUCACUCACCUUAGAACUUUGAAUUUGGAAUACUCUUUGUUCCUCUUAUCCUCCUUUUCAAAACCCUUGAAGGAUCUAGCCUAACUCCUAGUUUUGCUUUGGUAUCUAGAGAUUCAAUUCUCUAGUGAGGUACAGGACUCAGGAUUUGAAGAUUCCAUUGCUCCUUGGAUGGCUUACAGUUUCUAAGUUCUAUUUUAUGCAAGUGUUAGCAUAAGAUGCCUCUUUAUAGCCCUAUCUGUUUAAACUUGUAUUCGUUGAUUCGUAUAUGUAAAGUGUACGUAAGUGCACUCUUUUCAAUGUA